RNAcentral lists this ribosomal RNA (500 nucleotides) under uncultured bacterium. RNAcentral describes it as "partial 16S ribosomal RNA". It matches the Rfam family "Bacterial small subunit ribosomal RNA", at positions 30 to 523 of the family's 1533-position model. The record is from RNAcentral.
AUUGAACGCUGGCGGAAUGCUUUACACACGCAAGUCGAACGGCAGCACGGACUUCGGUCUGGUGGCGAGUGGCGAACGGGUGAGUAAUGUAUCGGAACGUGCCCAGUCGUGGGGGAUAACGUAGUGAAAGCUACGCUAAUACCGCAUACGACCUAUGGAUGAAAGCGGGGGAUCGCAAGACCUCGCGCGAUUGGAGCGGCCGAUAUCAGAUUAGGUAGUUGGUGAGGUAAAGGCUCACCAAGCCGACGAUCUGUAGCUGGUCUGAGAGGACGACCAGCCACACUGGGACUGAGACACGGCCCAGACUCCUACGGGAGGCAGCAGUGGGGAAUUUUGGACAAUGGGCGCAAGCCUGAUCCAGCCAUUCCGCGUGAGUGAAGAAGGCCUUCGGGUUGUAAAGCUCUUUCGCAAGGGAAGAAAACUUAGCCUCUAACAUAGGCUGAGGUUGACGGUACCUUGAUAAGAAGCACCGGCUAACUACGUGCCAGCCGCCGCGGUAA